RNAcentral lists this ribosomal RNA (371 nucleotides) under uncultured microorganism. Its description in RNAcentral is "bacterial SSU rRNA". It matches the Rfam family "Bacterial small subunit ribosomal RNA", at positions 346 to 699 of the family's 1533-position model. The record is from RNAcentral.
GUGCAGCAGUCGCGAAUCUUCCACAAUGGGACGAAAGUCUGAUGGAGCGACGCCGCGUGCGGGAUGAAGGCCUUAUGGGUUGUAAACCGCUGUCAGGGGGGAAGAACAUCGGAAUGAACAAUACUCAUUCCGACUGACGGUUACCCCCAGAGGAAGCUCCGGCCAACUCCGUGCCCAGCAGCCCGCGGUAAUACGGGGGGAGCAAGCGUUGUCCGGAAGUUAAUUGGGCGUAAAGGGCGUGUAGGCGGCGAGGUAAGUCGAAUGUGAAAUCUCACGGCUCAACCCGUGAAACUGCGUUCGAAACUACCCUGCCUUGAGUACGGGAGAGGUGUACGGAAUUCCUGGUGUAGCGGUGGAAUGCGUAGAUAUCA